Long non-coding RNA from Ostrea edulis (European flat oyster), 775 nucleotides. RefSeq lists it as uncharacterized. The record is from RefSeq and is a predicted model, not a curated record. The transcript has 2 exons. NCBI's taxonomy places the organism in Eukaryota, Metazoa, Mollusca, Bivalvia, Ostreida, Ostreidae.
CCUAUAAUGUACUGGUUUUUAUAUGUAGAGUUCGUGAAAGAACACUAUUUUUAGGUUUACAUUACUAGUAUAAAUCCUAUAAUUUGCUCUACUUUUUAAGAUUGCGUCAUACAACGUCGCUAUAUAUUAUUAGAAGUGGUAACGUAUUGUAAAACAUAAUUAUGCAAUGAGCGGUUUAAUAUAUAAUAAGAUCUUGAAAAAGAAAUUUUCUUUCAAAAUACGCAAUAAGGUUAUUUUACUUAUAGCCCGAAUGGCACACCAUAUUUUUCAAUCCUUCAUUCGGCCAUUUUCACACGCCGCGCCGUUAGCCUGUUUGCGCUGUUCGUGGAAGUUGCAGAGGAUGUACUCAUCGCAUUUCAAUGAUGAUAUAAUAUGUACAGCAAAAAUUAAUGGCAAGGGUGACAUGAAUCAGAUUGACAAGAAUCCAUAUUCCUACUCCUCAAUAAUGCUAUCAUCACUGCCAUCAGAUUCGUCAAUGAUAGUGGCAUCAGUGACACAUGCGGAUAAGUGUUGGACAUCACUGAAGGGAUAGCUUCCUUGUUGUGCCUGCCAAUAGCAAGGUACCAGAUUAUACAGCAGUUAUGUGGAAACAGAUUCCCACAAUAGGGGGACCAGAUUGACACCUACAUUGUACAGUAUCAGGCAGUUAUAUCAGAACUGGAAAAACUGGAUCCAAACAAGACUAUAUUGCUUGGAAGAAACAUGUCGACUCUGAAGUUUAACCCUUAUUAACCCAUGGCACUUCUAUGUCAUUUGAAAUAUACCUGUGGAGGUU